RNA transcript from Symphalangus syndactylus (siamang), 25698 nucleotides. It is a transcript of the gene named neurexin 1, with no coding region annotated. The record is from RefSeq and is a predicted model, not a curated record. Lineage: Eukaryota; Metazoa; Chordata; Mammalia; Primates; Hylobatidae.
GCGAUUUCCACAUCUAACAGCUUCUGGCUAUUUCGCAACUGCUGGGUUUGAGUCCUACUGUUGCCGUAGCUGAAAAGAGAAGUAAAAUCCAACUUGUGAGACCAUGCACAAGGAAUUAGGCUUUGGCUGCAGCGGUGCUGAAGCCCAUGCUAUGACAGAAGAAGCAGGCCUUUGAAGCUAUCCUCGGGUUAAGAAGUGGUGCCCUAAAGAGGCAAGCAUCCCUUUCUCCAUUCUGCUUUAAGACACCACAUCUAAAGGAGACACACUUGAGGCAUUCACAAGCAUCCAAGGAUACUGGCUCACUGCUGGCUUCCUGUACAUUCUUGAGAAAAGUGUUUUCUUUUUACUGACUCUCACUGCUUCCUUUUGGCCUGGUACCACUGGUGGAACCUGGCAGAUAAUGGGAUUUGAGGAGUUAAGUAUCUGUUGACACCGCAGAUGCUCUUAAAUUAGUUAAUCAGACUCAAAUGGGUCAGUGCUUUCCCUUGAUCUUUUGUUGAAGCCUUUUCCAGAACAUUGCCUCCAAAGUGCAUCCCCCCUUUGGUCUGGAAGUUCUGUGGCUACCCUGUACCACUGGGGUCAACGGUUUCCAGUUGGAAGAGGACUACAGGGAGAGAGGGCGGGGUUAUUGGAAGAAGAAGAAGAAAAAAAGAACUAGAUAAAGGAGGGCACAUCCCUCCCACUCCCGCCUUUCCCCUUACCUUUCUGUCUCUCGGUACCCUUAUUUCUUCGUCACGGUGUCCAGGACCAUUUUGACCCUGUCGGCCCCGGCACCCCCCCGCCGCACCCCAGCCCCGAGCAUGGGGACGGCGCUGCUCCAGCGCGGGGGCUGUUUUCUUCUGUGCCUCUCGCUGCUGCUCCUGGGCUGCUGGGCGGAGCUGGGCAGCGGGCUGGAGUUUCCGGGCGCCGAGGGCCAAUGGACGCGCUUCCCCAAGUGGAACGCCUGCUGCGAGAGCGAGAUGAGCUUCCAGCUCAAGACGCGCAGCGCCCGCGGCCUCGUGCUCUACUUCGACGACGAGGGCUUCUGCGACUUCCUGGAGCUGAUUCUGACGCGCGGCGGCCGCCUCCAGCUCAGCUUCUCUAUCUUCUGCGCUGAGCCUGCGACGCUCCUGGCCGACACGCCGGUUAACGAUGGCGCCUGGCACAGCGUGCGCAUCCGCCGCCAGUUCCGCAACACCACGCUCUUCAUCGACCAGGUGGAGGCCAAGUGGGUGGAGGUCAAGUCCAAGCGCAGGGACAUGACGGUGUUCAGCGGCCUUUUCGUCGGGGGGCUGCCCCCGGAACUGCGCGCCGCGGCGCUCAAGCUCACCCUGGCCUCGGUGAGGGAGCGGGAGCCCUUCAAGGGGUGGAUUCGCGACGUGAGGGUCAACUCCUCUCAGGUCCUGCCUGUGGACAGUGGCGAGGUGAAGCUGGACGAUGAGCCGCCCAACAGCGGCGGGGGAAGCCCGUGCGAGGCGGGCGAGGAGGGCGAGGGCGGGGUGUGCCUCAACGGAGGCGUGUGCUCCGUGGUGGACGACCAGGCCGUGUGCGACUGCUCGCGAACCGGCUUCCGCGGCAAGGACUGCAGCCAAGAAGACAACAAUGUGGAAGGUCUGGCGCACCUGAUGAUGGGCGACCAAGAGGACUGGCUGAAGUUAAGAGUCUUAAACAGCAGUUGGAUUUGCACUGACCAAUGAGGUGGAAGAAGAGAGAAGCUGACUGAUCCCAAAGAAAGCCAACACCUAGACUGAUGAAUUUCUGCAGGCUGGGAAGUCAAAGAACAUGGCACUAGCAACCAGUGAGGGCCUUCUUGCUGCGUCAUAACAUGUGAAGGGCAUCACAUGGUGAGAGGGUAAAAGAGUCCCUGCCAGCUCAGGUCUCUCUUCCUCUUCUUAAAGCCACCUGUCCCUUCAAGGGGGCUCCACACUGAUGACCUUAUCUAAUCCUAAUUACCUCCUAAAGGACCCACUUCUAGUCAGCGUAUUAAAUUGAGGAUUAAGUUUUUAACACACAAAAUUUGGGGAACACAUUCAAACCAUAGCAUCUCCUCUACCCAAAUUCAGAUUUUCCUCUUCCAUAUUUUAUUUUUUUGUUCUUUCAAACCAUCCUUCACAGUGCUGAAGACCUUUCCAUCUCUUUUCUGGUUGUCUCCUUCUCCUAAUCUUGGCAUGCUCUAAUUGUCAGGAUACCUCAUAAAGCCAAGUCUAAAAUUAAUUCUACUAUCCCUGGGUAUCUGAGCAAGGCAUAGUAAAAUGGAAGCAUUCUGUGGUUCUGGAAAUAAUACUUCUGUUAAUGCCACCUAAAAUCAAAGGUAGGGGUGGUGUGUGUGUGUGUGUGUGUGUGUGUGUGUGUGUGAAUGUGUGUAUGUAUUUUGGUCAGCGUUAUUGUUUUAUCAAUUCAUGCUGAACUUUCAGUCAGUUGAACCCUCUAAGUUUUUCCACAUGAACUGCUCAUAAGUCAGCCUUUCUGUACUCUACUCAAGAGCUGAUGUUGUCAGCCUGCUUUAAAACAUGAAACAUUACUAUUCAAUUCUACCUUCAAUCAUUAAAAAUAGUAAAUUGUCUACUAAGGGUCCUAUGCAAGAUGCUAUGAAUACAAACAUAAAUAAGGCUUGGUAUUUGUUCUAGAGGGAUUUAUAGCUCAGUAGGUGAAGACGUUUUUACAUUGAAGUGUCAUCAGUCGUUAAAAGCCCUGUAAUAUAAGUUAUUUACAGAAACCAACAUUCUUCAUUAGCUGUCUUGUUGAGUGAUGAGUGUUGGCUAGAGUGACAUUGUAGUGUGUUAGUUUUCUAUUGAUGCCAUAACAAAUGACUACAAAUGUAAUAGUUUAAACAACAUAAAUGUAUUAUCUCACUCUUCUGUAGGUCAGAAGUCUGGCAUGGAUCUCACUGGGGUAAAUUUGAUUUGUCAUCAAUGCUGCGUUUCUGUUAGAAGCACUAAGAAAGAAUCUGCUUUCUUCCUUUUCUAUCUUUUUUGAGGCUGCCUACAUUCCUUGGCUGGUGACUCCUUUCUUUCAUCUUCAAAGCCGGUAACCUUGCAUCUCUCAGACUAUUCUUCUGUAGUCACAUUUUACUCUGACUCCUCUUCUGCUGUUUUCUUCCACUUGUAAGGAGCUUGUGACUACAUUGGGUCCAGGGUUCUUACCCUAUCUUUAGGUCAGCUGAUUAGCAAACUUAAUUAACAUCUUCAACCUUAAUUGCCUUUGCUAUCUUUAAGGGCAAAAAGAGAAAGGCAUCUUUUUCUCACCCUUCAUAAAGGUCAGAGCCAACACUCCUGUAAUGAAGGACAGAUUAACAAGAGAAAAGUGUAGCAAACUUAGUUAAUCAAAGUUUCAUGUAACACAGGCACCUUCAGAGUUGAAGACCCACAUACCCAGGGAAAACUGUGUACUUUUUAUACUGAGUUUCAAUGAAGAAUGAACCACCAUAUAGAAAUGUGAUUGGAUAAAGGAGUAUAAUGUAAUGGUAACAGACUGAGGGGGGAAAUCCAGAAAGGCCUGUUUUUGUUUUUGUUUUUGUUUUUCAGAUUCUUCUCUGUGUAGCAUUUUUCCCUCCAGAGUACAGGGCAAUGAGAGUCUUCAAGGGAAAAGGGAGAGAGUGACCUUUCCAAAUUUUGUGGCUUACUUUAGGGGAGAAGACUUUUAGUUUCUCCUCAGACCUUGGGAAAAUGCAAUUCUGGUUGCUAUGACUUGCUUCUGGGGAGAAAGAGGGGUGUGAGAGAGGAGGGCAGGAAAAGGUCAGAGACCUUGUUUCUGAGGCUUUUCCAGUCUCCUUCAGUUCAAAGUAUUCAUCAUGCCAGGAUGCUAUACUUUGGGGUAUGUUCUGAGCCGCAACACAUGUAAUCCACAUGUAAUCCAACCUAUUCAUGGGUUCUGGAGAUUAAGAUUUAGACAUCAUUGGGGUGCCAUUAUAUUUGUCUAGCACAGGUAGACACAUUUCAGGCAGAAGCAUAAUGUAAGUAUGUAAGAGAAAUGCAGGUUGUAAGCAAUUGAGUAUUAAUGCAACAAGGGAACCUAAAGGAUGAAACUGGAGAAACAGAUAAAAGUCAAGAUGAUGGAAAGACUUAAGGAACAGGAUCAGAUUGGUUGUUUCAAAAGAUUAUUCUGGCAAGAGAACAGAUUUAAAAAAUGCAGAACCAAAGAUAAGAAAACAGCAUAGCAACAAUUAAUUAGUCAAGAAAGAUACCAGAAGCUUACACUAUUUUCGUAGCAUCAGAGGUGAAAAAGAAGUAAUAGAUUUGAUAUGUGCUAAGGAGUUAGGGUCUAUGGGGUUUGUUGGUUGAUUAGUUACAAAGAUGUGGGCAUGACUGGGGUCAAGACUGAUUCCCAGAUUUUCAUGAUAAGACUCUAGGUGAAUGGUGAUGUCAUUUGUAGUAUGGAUUACUGAAGAGAAAGUAGAGAUGAGGAGUCAAAGGAAGAGAAAUGCUUCUGAUUUCCAUUUUAGUACAUGGAUAUAACUAAGCUAUAUUGAAUCCUCAUAUGUAAUUCUAUCCCUGUGUUAUCUACAAGUAUGAUAUUAAUCUACUUGGUAUUUUUAAUGGAAAAAAGUGUGGUAGAGAAUAGAGUCCUCAGAGUGCCAGUAGGGAUAACCUUAGUGCCCCUAGUGUAACCACCACUGUUACAUCAAUCUGAGUCCACUAUAUAACACCAUUCAACCAGCGUUGACUCUGUACUAUUAGCCAGGUCAUAUUUCUGCACAUAUUCCAAAAUUUUUCUUAGUAAACUUAGUCUAGUGCCUUGCUUAGACAUUUAAUAGACUGUCUAAAUCAUGAAGCAAUAUUGGGAAAGUUAUUUCUAUUCAAUAGUGUUAAAUAUUUAAGUAAUUAAUUCACUUUAUCUUCCAUUUUAAUAAACACCUUAACCCAGGGAACUCUAUGUGUAAAUUCUAUUCAAAGCCCUUUGCGGAAUAUAAAUACAUAUGUCAUGUUUAUGAAUAUGUAAAAUAUAAAAUAUAGUGACCAUAUAGGAGAGCAAGAAAUGAAUUUUUAUUGGAAAAAAAGUGCUUGGAUAAGUGGUGGUUGACAGGGAAGAGAUGAGAAAUGAGGAUAGAUUCACUGGGAAAGAGGACACCUGAAAGAAAGAACAGUGUCAUUAGAAAUAUUGGAACAGCUUCAUGCAAAGCAUGAUUAUAGUGAGGGAUGUUGUGUGGCUACAACACAAAUGUGGUUGCAAGGGAGGUUUGGAAUGAAAGAAUUGGUAGCUUUCUGGUUCAUAGAUGUAGUUAUUUUUAAUUGAAUUUGAGAGUCAUUGGGCAGCACAUAGCCUCUCCAAAUUUUCACUGGGCUCUCUUACUCCCUACUGUGUGCCCUAACCAGAUUCACACAUUUAUGUUUCUUAUCAGGUUCCUUAAAUAGCUGAAUUUAUAACCCUGGAUUUAUAAACUUAUUUUGCAGUCAACAUAGUGUGUGUCAGAGGGUUGGGGAUGGAUGGUGCCAUUAUCAGAGUCCCACUUUAAAAAUACAUCUUAAUGGCAGAGUGAAUUUCAAAUUACAGUGCUGAGGAAAGGUGGGAUCAUUAGAGGAAGGUGAAUAAGCUAAGAAGUUGUUUAAAAUGUUAAGAUAAAAGUAGGCUGAACUGUGAUGAUAAUAUGAGGAAAAGAAGGGAAGGACCAAACAUGAGAAACUAGAUUUGCAAUUUCAUUAGGACAUGGCCUGGGUCUUAUUCUUUCAGUGGGACAAAUCACAAAGUAGAUAAUAAAAAAAUGAAUGAAUGAAGACAUUGGAGUAGUUGAAUUGGAUAUGAGAAGUGAAAGGAAAGAACUGAAGGCAACUUGAAGAGCCUGGAUAUAAGUACCUAGAAGGGUUAUGCUUCUGAAAGUGCCUGCGGGAGAAUAACAUUCAUCUUAGAUCAAGUUGUAAGAAGACAUCCAGGGAGACACAUUCAGCAGUGAUGAAAAUGUGAAUAUGGUUCUCAGGAUAGAGACUAUAAUGAAAAGGGAAUAUGAAAAUUAAGAAAGUUUAUUUCAACUCAGCAAGAAUAUUAUGUAUCAAGAUAAAAUACAGAUUAGUAAUCUUUUUAAAAAGAAAGGUCUGAUCAUUUAAUGCAGACACAUUGUGUUAUAGAUGAAGAAACAAUAACAAGUGUUUUGCCUAAAGUUAAUCAACUGGUAAACGGGAGAGUUAGCUCUAGCACAGAAAAGGAUGUUCCUUGUAUUGCAUCAAUACUUUACUGCACUACCUCUGACAUCCCCCCACAAGUUUUCACAUGGGCCCAUUCUCUACUUAGAAGAGAACCAUUUUACCAUCGUUUAUGUUCCCAAAUGUGAACUUGGAUCCAUUUGUAAAAUUCACGUAUGGACUAUUUAAUACUUAGGGAUUUCAAGAUACCUUUUUUAAAUUUCAAGACCUGGUAGAAAGAGAGUGGGGCUGCAAGGAAGCCUAGGGUGAAAGCUACCAGCUUUAUUUUAUUAAUUUCUAGUAUUCUGGCCUGGCGAGUCUAACUUGUCUCAUAUAUUUCAGUCAAAUUGCUGUUAUGGAACAAACUGGAUUCUUCAGUUCUAAAUUUCACAGAAUUAUGUAAGGCUAAUGGAUUUCAGGUCAUGCCUUAUUGAGCCUAAGGGUUCUGGGGAGGGACCUGAGGACAACUGCUGGGGCUUAAGAGUGCGGAAAGAGCAGGACUUUGGAGCCCUUGCCCUGAUUCCAACAGAGACAUAGUCUUUUCUCUGUUUUAACAUUGGGCUUUCUCCCAUGAUUGUCUAUAAAGGAAGGGUCUCUUAUUUUAAAAUAUUCGAUAACUACUGCUAGAGGUUAUUAAUCUCAGGGCUACAGCCAGCAUUUCAGAUCUUACUGUCGUGUAUUUUUGGAUUAUAUUAAAACACUCCAAAUCCCAUUGUUUCAAAUGAGUAAAUCACACAAGUUGAAUUUUAUCCUAAAAGUACCUUUGAGCCAUUCAGCUCUGAGCCAAGCAUCAUCUCUCUCUGGCUUUUGCCAACACAGCUCACUUUUCCUAAGGACGUAUUGAGAGGAAAGAAUUUCAAGUUUUCACAACUAAAGGAGAGGCUUUCCGUUAAGAGAAGAUACAAGUAAGCCACAAUUUAUCCUGUGUUAUAAUUUACAGAAUGCUUAUGCAAAGGCCCAUAAGGUAUGUUGUGGGGGUGGAGCUGUGAUAUUGUGGUACACUGAGAGCAGAUGUCACUACAAAAAAACAAAACAAAACAAAACAAAAAAGUACCUCCCCCAGAAUACUUCUAUAAUAAUUCUUCAGUUAAAGAUGAAUUAAAAAUUAGUUACCUCCAAGACCAUCAACAUAAUAGAAACAGUUAUUAUGCAAAGCUUUAUUUGAACUAUGUUAAUGUCUUCCUAUAGUUAGAUUGAAUUCAGCUUCAGUAUGGUUUAGAUUGAAGAAAAGUCAUUUUGGUCAAGACUAAAGAGAGAGUUAAAUUUUAGGUUGGCGACGUCUGGUAGUGAAUACCUAGAAAGCAGAGAACAUAAAGAGAUUGAAAAGGGUCCUCAAGUGAAUUCCAAUAUCUUACUUAGUUUGUCUUUUAAAAAAAGUUCUAGCCCUGUCUAAAUAAACAUAGCUUUAUUCUUCCUGGUAACAUUAUCUCUGAAAAAUAAUAUGUUGGUACUGGUUGGGAAUAUAUGCCCAAUAUCUUCUUGAAUAAAGUGAUAUUAUUGUAAUUUUCUACUUUUCUCAGCAGCUUCAUCUUUUAUUCAUAAAUACUUGUUUCUGAUUUGUAAAAGCGGUUUUCUAAAUGUACUUCCUCUUCCCUUCCUUAUCAUUUUCUAAUUAUACCAGUAGUAAUAGUUCUGAUUUAGGUAAACUUAUAGAAUAAUACACUAAAUUAAUAUAUUAAGUCAUUUUCCACUUUUAAAAAGCAUUUUCUUAUCUGUUAUAAUCACUAUCUGAGAUAAAGGGACAAUGACAUUUGACUUCCUUUUUGCAGAUAAGAAAAAAUAACCAAGAUAAAAACUUUUCCACAUUACACAGUAAGGAAAUAGCAAGUCAGAACCUGAUGGUGAAAGCUAAAGCUCCCCACUAAGGUCAAACUACACCAGGCAUGGGUUUUUACCAGGGUGCUGUAAUACAUUCUCAGCACUCCCAAGUUACAUGGUAUCUUAGAAGAUCAGGAGAUGUACUAUUUCUCAGUACAUCCAGUGCUGUCUCACAGAUUGAAUUAAAAAGCAAAAUUAACUGAUAUUAAGUUGUUUCACUGGUAGUGUUUUCCGAGAUAAGCUAAAAUGACUUCUGGUUUAAAGUCAUGAAAAUCCUUCAUUUAGAAUUUUUUUAUGUAGAUCUAGUACAUUAAUAUUUAUGACCUCUUUUUUUUUCAGUUCCCGAGAAAACUUGUUUUUAUUCUUAUUCUAUUCUAAACUCAGAAUGUGAUUCAACAUUUGCUUUUUUUUUUUUCUAAUUUCUGUCUGUUUUUACUUCAGUGAUUCUUCCUAAGCAGAAUGAAUACAUGUUUUGGUAUAAUGAAUAUUGCUGAGAAUAAAUGCAUUUUCUUCGUCUUGCCCUGGUUAAAGAAUAUUUCUAGAUGCUGACGAGUGAAUUAAUGAUAUUUCAGAUUCCUCAUCAUCUAAUAAAGCCAUCAUUCUCAAUGAUCAGUUGAGGUUAGGCUUUUCUGAAAGAAAAAAAUAGUACAUUAUCACACUCACUUUCUUAAUAUAAUGGCUCUAACUUCGCUCUGGAGAACUUCAUGACUUUCCCACCAAAUUCUAGUUCAGUAUGGAAGCAAGUAAUGUUCUAUUCAUUAAUAUGGGAAGGACAGCAUAUGGGAGGUUAUUUAACUCCUUAGUGUCUCCAUCUUCCAUUCGCCAUGCAUGUUGCAAUGAUAAAUGAAAACAUUUUUAAACAUUUUGAAAGCUUGAAAACCUAUUUAGUGAAUACAAAUUAGCACAUUAUUGCUAUAAUUCACAUUUACUAAAGAACUUGUGGACUAUUGGCAGUUUCUUUGGAUUGUUGUUUAGUCUGUUUUGGAUUACCUACUGGUCAAAUCACAUUUUUUUCUUAGUGUCACAUGAUAUCGAACUAUUGUUGAAAUUUCCUUUUAAGAUUGUAAGAUUUAUUUGAGAUCCUUUACUGAAGUUCUUGCUUGUAUAUAACUUUGUACCAGAACCCCAGGUGAGGAACUUUGAAAGCAUAAUUAAUGUUUUCUCAUCUUUAUUUUCUUUCUUUUUUUGUGGGGAUGGAGUCUUGCUCUGUCGCCCAGGCUAGAGUGCAGUGGCGCAGUCUCGGCUCACUGCAAGCUCCGCCUCCUAGGUUGACAUCAUUCUACUGCCUCAGCCUCCUGAGUAGCUGGGGCUACAGGUGCCUCCCACCAUGCCUGGCUAAUUUUUUUGUAUUUUUAGUACAGACCAGUUUUCACCAUGUUAGCCAGGAUGGUCUCGAUCUCCUGACCUUGUGAUCUGCCCGUCUCAGCCUCCCAAAGUGCUGGGAUUACAGGUGUGAGCCACUGUGCCCAGCCUCAUCUUUGUUUUCUUUAUUGGUAUUAAUUCAUUCUGUUCACUCAGUUCAAGUUUGUUGAAUCCCCUCUUGUGGGCUCAGGGGAACAGGAAAAUGAACAGAUGAAAAUCAUGGAUCAUGGUACUCACAUUUUAAUGGUAUGAAACAAGCAUUAACAAAAACAACAAAAGCCAGAUAAAUAGUGUGUCAGAUAGUGAUACCUUCUAUAGAGAAAAAAAUCAGUGAAUGGGACACGGGAGUGCACCGAUGAGAAAAGGAGGUGUGAUUUUUACAUGAGGUUGUCAGGUAAGGCCUUCACUGGCAGCAUGACAUUUGAGAAGAGAAUUGAAGAGAUGGUUCAAUAUGAGUUCAAUUUUUUGAUUCUUAGGAGAACCAUCUCUUCCUUUCUACGUCCAUUGAGCUCAGUGUAAUCUAGGUAGCACUCAUCACCUCGUUCUUGCAUUACAUCAUUCCUGCCAGCUGCUUUAGCUGGUUUCUCUUCCUUAGGUUUCACCCUCUCUGGCUUGUACAACGUCACGGAAUGCCCUUGCUCAGAAAUGUGCAAAUGUUCCCUUAUUACCUGUCAUAUCGAUUACAGACUCCUCCAUAUUAUUUUCGUACUAUUUAAGAGCCCUAUUUAUUUAAUAAUUUUACUUUUAAUCCUCACUCUGACAAAUAGGUCUGUUCAUGCCAUCUUGAGUAAGCCAUACUUGUUUCCAAUUCUGUUUUCUUACAUGUACCUGCCUUCCCACCUGAAAUGCCUUCCGUUUUCUAAAUAUUUUACCCAAGUGAUAGGGUUUGUUUAAUUGAUACUGACAAAUAUGCUUAUAAUAUAAAGUGAAACUGACUUAGACCUAAUAACCUCAACUAGAGGCUGAUCCCAAGUACAUACUAAGGGUUUUAGAACUACUGUCCUUAAAGGGUAAACUCCCAGAUACUUACCCUUCCACUGGAGACUUGAAGUGUAAUGUGAUAUAGGAUAUGGUGAGGUUUGGAGAUUUAAAGGAUUGGGAUCUAUUAUGCACUUAAAAAUCCCACAUAGUCCAACAUGUUGUGGACACUAGGCCUUUAGGCUGAUCCCUGUCACAAAGGGGAAAUUGACAUUCGGCAAGGUUUAAUUUCUUGUGAGUAGCCAUGGGGAGAUAUUAUGUCUUUUAUUUGUAUUGCUCAGCCUUCUCUUGAUAAUAUUCAUGUUACUCUAGAUCGAUUAAUUCUCUGAUUAUUUUAUGGUUAGGUGCUUAAUUUACACACAAAAAAUCCCUUUUGUUAUCUUUCAUGUCUUGUCUUUUCAGUUAUUACAUAUUUUAAAAUACCUCUGUGUGCCUAAUAUCAGUACAUCUUCUGUAUCUCCCAUGACAUCUAAUAAACUGCUGUAAUUCACAUUAAAAAAUUCUUGCUAAUUAGUUUGAUGUGGAAGGUUUCAACAGCCUGACGUUUAUGCUUCUUAAACCGCAGUUCAUGUAUUUGACAUAAUUCUGCCAGAUAUCAAAAGUUCUAUAACAUCACCAACAUGGGAUUACAUCAAGGAAAAAUAAUGUCAUGAGAACCUAUAAAUUGUUUGUAUAGUCUGUUGUCACAUUUCCCUGCUUGUCUUUCUACAGACUUUCUUUAAUACAUCCUGCAAAAUAUUAGAAAAAAACAAAUUAACUGUCUAUUCAAGGAGGGCUUUGACAUAAUCUACCCUCUUUUUUUAAUUUUUUAAAAAAUUUUCUCCUGGUAAUCUUGUUAUUUCACAGGGUUACCAUUAUACAGUAAUAUAAACUUGGGGGAAGCAGGGCCUACAUCUACUAAUAUCCUUGUCUGGAGAGAAGAAAAUGAAAAGGCCUCUAAUGUGGCAGAGGGUGUCCCUAAGAUUGAAUAAACACAGUGUAGUGGGAAGACCCUCCUUUUAAGACACAUCUCACCUUAUUCUAUUUGUCAUUGUCAAAGCAUUUAAUGUUCCAAGCCUUCUGCAACCGGUUUUAUCUGAUACAUUUUCAAUUGUACUGAAUUGGAAAUUGGAGUGAUGUGCACUUCAGAAAUUACGGUGGAAUCCGGCUAAUUCAAAUUAUUGAUGUGGCGAUUUGCUGCAGAUGCUUAAAUUUUGUGACCUUAGAAGUAAGUGAAAAUCAGGAUUAAAAGUCAACCUAUUGCUUCAGAAUAUGGCUCAUUUAUUUUAGCGACUAUAGUUUAAUUUUAAUUAUUUAUGUCUCUGCUGAAUAGUUCUUUGGCAAAUGCUCCAUGGAAAAUACAUCAUCAUCUUUUUCAAGCUGUGUCUGCAUUCAGAAGUCUUAACUCUGUUUGACAGGUAUUUCUUUGAGUCAUCUAUAUUAGGAAAUAAUUUUUAAUCUGUCUGCAAGAAUCCUGAAUUUGCUUUCCAGAGUAGGUACUACACUCAAAAUCUAGUAUGACUUCUUAGGCGUUUAAUAUUCUGAACAGAAAGCUUUCAUAGAAAUCAUUUUUUCUGGUUAAAAAAACCUAACUAAAUAAUUUACUCUUUUAAUUAUAUUUCACUGUUAAUGAUGUCCAUCAACACUUAUUUAAAUGUAUUUUCAAAGCGUUCAUUUCUGAAGAAUAAAUUAUAAAUGUGCUUUUUUAUAUUAAGCAAUUAAUUUCAUAGGAAAAUUAAAUUUUUGAAAUGUGGGAAUUUAGAUUAUAGAACAGUUGAAUGAUAACUUCAUAGAAUAUUAUAUCAAAGUUGAAUCCUAGGAAGAGCACAAUAUCCCCUUUCAUUUUCUACCUCCCUAUGGAUAUAUGCAUCUCUUUUAUUUGCCAUUUCAUAAAAAUGUGUUAUAAUUAUUGGUAACCAAUAGUAGGAUAACUUUGAAAAUAAAACUCUUCGAAACGUGUAUCCUUUUUAAGAUUAGACACGUUAGACAUGCCACUUCCUCUCUUAUACAUCACUGGAAAAGGGCUACAGAUAGAAGCCAGAAUGGCCCAUAUUUAAAAAAUAAAACUGCAAUUAAAAUCUUUGAUAGUUACAUUGAAAGCAGUAAGAAAGUGUUGGAAAUCUCUGCAAGGGACAGUCCUAAGAGGGAAUGAACUGUAUAAAAAAAAAGAAAAUUUUUGAGGAAAAAGUUUGAAGAUGAAAGGAUUCUUCUUAUAGAAACAAAGAAACAGUGACAAAGUUAUUCAUUGACUGAAUAGAGCCACAACUAAUGACAACUUAAUAGGAGAACUUUAUCUUCAAGCUUAACAAAAUUUCUAGACCUAAUGCAAUUCAAGAACUAUCUGGAAAUUAUUGUGUGACCUGGCAUAUCUAAACUAAACUUGUCUUGUAAUUUUCUAGUUCAAACUGUAGUGGAAGAUAUACUGUAGUGAUUAUUCAGUCCAUUCCGAUCAAUUAUUACUAUUAUGUUUUGUUUUUGCUACCAUCAAUUUUAAGGAGGAAUACAGUAAAUAGAGCCCAUUUAAUAGUGCACACUUUGAUGAAUUUUGACAAUCGUUUACACUUGUGAAUGCUAUAACCAAGAUACAGAACAUUUCCAAAGAUGAUGAAGAUUCUUUGUACUCCUUUGUAAAGUCCAUUCUCACACCUUCCCUUGGAUCUGGGCAGCCACUGACUUUCCUUUUGUCACCAUAGAUUAGUCUUCAUUUUGUUUAAAUGGAAUCGCCGAGUAUGUGCUCUUGCGUGUGGCUUCUUCAUUUCUGCACAAUGAGUUUAAGAGUCAUCCAAAUGUGUUUGUGCAGAUGCAGUACUUUAUUCCUUUUUAUUGAUAGGAAAUAUUGAAUUAUGUUUUGUGUGUGUGUUUUAUUUCUUCACUUAAAUCAUGUUCUUAUUAAUAUCAAGGAAUGCAUUUUAAAUUCUAUGUAUCCCCUCAGCACCUAAAAUAAUCCCUUGCACAUAGGAGAGGUUUGUUGGUUAAUUGAUUCAUCAUUCUGAGCACAGAUGUUGGAGAUAAGUUUUAGAAUGGUCCUGGUGUCAGCGAUACUCAUUUUUUGAGAAAAAUUUUGUGUUGGAAGUAGCAAGUUCAGAGAAAAUCAUUUAUUGAGGAGUUUAUCUAUGCCAGUCACAGUACGACCUUUGGCAUUAUCUCAUUUAUCCUCAUAACCAGUCCUAUGUGUUACUUAUACUGCAAUUAUACUUAUUUGUUAGGUGAAGCACAGAGAUUAAGCAACUUGACACUGAAGCUGAUGAACAGUAGAGCUGCUUAACACCAAAGCAGUUGCUGUUAGCCAUGAUACCUCAUUUCACCAGUUACUUAGAGUGAAAAUCCAUAUAGUAGCUAAAAUGCACAGUGUUAGUGGUUUCUAGGAGAUUUUUCAGACCUUUUAUUGUCUCCUUCCCUUACACUGACCUCUUGCAGUUUUGCUCAGGACACUUGCUGCCAUCUCAGGGCACUGGCUGUAGUGCCUCUUUCAGAUGCUUAAAUCCCUUACAUCUUUGAAAUCAUUGCUCAAAUUGGACCUCACUGAGUCUAUUCCGAAUUUUUUUUUUUUCUUUUGAGACAGAAUCUUGCUCUGUCACCCACGCUGGGGUGCAGUGGCACAAUCCUGGCUCACUGCAACCUCCGUCUCCCAGGCUCAAGCGAUUCUCCUGCCCCCAGCCUCCUGAGUAGCUGGGACUAUGGGCAUGCCCCACCACACCCAGCUAAUUUUGUGUUUUUAGUAGAGACUGUUUCUCCAUGUUGGCCAGUCUGGUCUUGAACUCCUGAUUUUAAGUGAUCCACCUGCCUCAGCCUCCCACAGUGCUGGGAUUACAGCUGUGAGCCACUGUGCCUGGCCAAUUCUGAACCUUUCUAUUAGAUACUUCAACCUUCUGCCACUUGUCUCCCACCCUCCCAAUCCCUUUUACUUAUUUAUAUUUUAGAAAACCAUAGCAUACACCAUUUUCUAAUAUAUACAUGAAUUACUUAAAGUUUAAUGAUUGUUUCCUUGUGUGUCUCUGCAGAGUAUAAGCCCCACAAGGGCAGGAAUCUUUGUCAGUGCUGUUAUCUGAUUUAUCCCAAAUGCCUGGGACAGUGUCUUACACAUAGUAAGUUCCCAAUAAAUGUGUGUAUUAGGCUAUGAGCUGGGAUGUGUUUGGCUCUCUUCCCAUAUAUCUGAGUUUUUUUUUUUUCUUGGAAGAUGUAGCAUUGAGUGAUACUUGGGUGAUUUAGAGACCAGAUAAAAUAAUAGAAACAUUGAUAUCCGAUUCUCUAACAGGACUCAGUAAAUAGUAAGAAAUGAUUUUCUACAUUAUUUCUUACUAUCUUCUGCCUGUGUUAUAUUGAUUUUAAUGGUUCACAUUAUCAGGGCUUUUUUAGAUUGCUUCUUAGAGAUGGAAGAGGCUUGAGAGAAUUUUGAGAUAAUUUGGUCCAAAAUUUGAAAUUUGGGAGCUUUGGAGGGUUGUGGAGCGAAUAUAUUUCACAUGGAUUUUAAUAAUCAAUUGGAAUUUCAAUGCCCUUACAUAAAAUUUCUUGCUUAGGCCAGGCAUGGUGUCUCGUGCCAGUAAUCCCAGCACUUUGGGAGGCUGAUGAGGGUGGAUUACUUGAGAUCAGGAGUUUGGGACCAGCCUAGCCAACAUGGUGAAACCCCAUCUCUACUAAAAAUACAAAAUUAGCCAGGCGUGGUGGCGUACUCCUGUAAUCCCAGCUACUUGGGAGGCUGAGGCAGGACCGUUACUUGGACCUGGGAGGCAAAGGUUGCAGUGAGCCAAGAUUGUGCCAUUUCACUCCAGCCUGGGAAAAAAAAGCAAAGUUCCAUCUCAAAAAACAAAAAACAAAAUUGCUUAAAGCAGUAUUUUGUCUUAAUUUGUACUGACCCACUCAUUUCAAUGCCUGAUCCCUGAAUAUAGUUAACUAGACCACCUCUAAUACAGCCUCUUUAUGUUACAGAAGAGAAAACAGGCUCAAGUGGUGAAGCAGCUUAUCCAUAAUGAAAUGACUAGUUACUGCCUUUUUUGCUGUAAGGGGAAAAAUAUCCAGUAUAUAGAGGCAUUUACUUGUCAAUUAGAGCAAAGAUUAAUUCAGAGAUGUUAUGUCUGCUUUUUAAAUCACCUUUUUAUUGAAUUCCUUACUUAACACUCAUAAAAUGGCUCAUUGUUUGUGGUCAUUUAGGCCCCAGUAGGGUGUGUUCUCUUUCAGGAUCGUAAAUUACUCUUACAGUGUUUGAGAUGUACUGAAGGUUCUAAGGCCUCUGUUAAACUUGGUGGAGGGAAUAGCAAAUGAAUCAUUUGUCAUUUAUUCUUGUAGCAAUUCAUUUGUAGUGGGAACCCAACUCGAAGUCAAAAUACUUUAUUUAUUGGCUUUUCAUGGUUGUUUCUUGAAAAGCAGUAGUAAUUGCAUUUGAUGUAAGUAUGAGAUAUGAAAUAACAUGAAGGAGUAAUAUUAUAUUUCUGGGAAUAACACAAUCUUGGGAGAAGGCCAGGAAAUUUUUGUUGCCUAGUCAAACAAAUGUUAGAUUACAUCGUGGUAUAAUUUAUCUUUUUAAACAAAACUCCCAUUGCCAAAUUUUCUUUUAAUUAAUUAAAAAAUGUAGAAACAACAUUCCUCAAAUGAUAUCCUCUGCCACUGGAUUCAGUAAUAUACACUUUUUGAUGAUUUUAUUUUUUAGUUCUGAGAUAAUUUACAUAUAAGUUAUAUAACCACAUGGCUCACCAUUAUAUUAGCACUAAUUUUUAUAUUAAUCUCAUGGACUGAGGUGAUAAAUAUUUUUCAUGUUCAGUAGACCUUAGACACUGUAAAGAAAAUUUAUACAAUAAAGUGCUGCCCAUAUAAUUUCAACUAUUUCUUUGUGUAUAGAAUGUAUUAAGUGUUCUGCAUUUAUGGAAAAACAUGGGGAAGAUAGGAAGUUUCAAAUGAAUAAUCAGGACAAAUCCUGAAUUGUUCUUGCAGUUGACUUUAAUCAUUUUUGCUGAAAGUGAAGAACAAUUAAUUGACAGUUUCCUCAGUUGUAUUAAUUUUAUUCUGAGAAUGAGUCAAGUUUUUAAUAAAUUGUUGGAAAAAUCCUGAAGGAUAACUAUAGUACCAUAAAUAGAAAGUCUUAUUAAUAAACUAAAAUACUUUUGUUUAUCAAAAAUCACCUUAUAAUUGUGAAUGUAUAUGCUGACCUUACAUUACUGUAAUUAUAAUACAUCCCUACAUAAUCAGAGAACUUCUCGAUUCAAUAAAAAUAAAUACCACAUAGUAAAGAUUUGUCCUGCACCAAGACUUGAGUUAUAUGACAUGGGGACAUCUCAAAUAUCAGGAUAGCUUCUAAGAAGAAUCUUUUGGCCUGUUAAUAAACAAUUUAUAUAUGACAACCAAACCAAAUCCUGUAUUAAACCCUAUAGGAAAAUGCUUUAUUGAGGCUGCCUUGUAUAUUGACGUUCUCAUUAAAAAUUAUUCACAAAUGUCAAAUGUUUCAUUAUAUGAAAGCCCCCUUUAACAUUAAGUAGGAUAUAUUUAACUACAAAAUACUUGUCUGUCCUUUUAUGGCAUUAGUCAUAUACUAUUAGUAAGUGAAAAGAGUUUUAAUAAUGUAUUACGUACCCUAAAAUAAUAGAUAUUUUCAUGUACAUCUAUAAACACAUGUGACAGCUGGGUGCUCCAGGGUCCAAAUCCUCAGAUACACUUAGGGUACAAAAGGUUGUUGGGAGGUAACAAUUACGAGUGAUAAAAGAGGAAAGAAUCCAGAUAUAAAGGGGUGACAGGCCUCAAGCCACAGUACAGAUCUGAUAGGCUCUCAGCCACCUCUCUGGAAAGCUCUGUAGUGAAGACUGCCCAUCAGAGGAGUUCUUGUUUGGGUGAAAAUGGCCAGGUCCCAAUCUUCCUGCCCUCCCUUGACCAUGCCAUGCUUAGUCAUUGGCUAGGGGCAAACCCAGAGAGCAUGGCCUCAGCAGAUCCUGAAAGUAUUAUUUGUUGGGAGUUGUCAACUAACUGCACUCCUUAAAGAUGAAUAGUAAGUUGUUGAAAUAAACAUUGAGUGACAUAUGGCAACUGGCACAUGUUAAUGGCUGCUCUAAUAUAUAAUAGGUGUUUACAUGCGUAUGUUAUGAAUAAAUAUAUGUAUGUACAAAAUAUGCCAUGUAUGUUUAAAGUAAAGAAUGUUUAUAUGAUUGGCCAAGGUAUCUCAGACUCAAUAGAACUUUAAAUGUUUGCAGGUUUUUAUCAAUGGUUUUAGAAUUCCACGUCAAGGUAGUUCCAAAGGAUUGGACAAUUGCAACUGUUAAGCUAGAGCUGUAUGUAAAUUUCAGACUAUUUGGUGGCUCUUUCUUUAACUCUGAGUAUUAUUGCUUCUGUAAGAUGACCAAUUACAUACUACACCAGUGUAUAUUAUUUUUUGAAUGGAAAAACAUAUUAUACUUGGAGGGCUUAGUGAAUUGUGCUACAUAAUAUAAAGAACCUAAUAAUAACCCAGCCUUAGGGGAUCUUGAUCUCUCAAUUCCCAAUAGCUGAAUAAUAACAGUUUGAUAAAAGAAGCAUCACAACUUACAUCUACAAUUAUUCUCAGUAUUCUAUUUCCAUUCUCAAAACUUCAUUUAAUGAAGCAGACUUAAUAAAUGCCAUGUUCUCUGUCAGGACAUUUUCACCUGUUGUUUUUUCCUGCAUAUUCUUCCUUCAGAUAUUGGCAAUACAAGUUUCCCUGCUUUAUUUUAAUCCCUGUUUAAAUGUCACCUUCUCAAAGAAGUCUGUCUCCAUCUGAUCUGAAAUGAAGGCUUCAGAACUAUCCUCUUCCCUUUCUUUCCCUAAAAUAAUAGCUGUUCAUAUGUGGCAAUAUAUUAUACAGCUAUAUGUUUGUGUAUCCUGAUAAUAUUAGAUACCUUAAGUACAGGGAUUUUUGUCUCUUCUCUAUGUGGCUGAAUCCCCAGAACCUACAGCAGUGCGUGGCAUAUGUAGUAGGCACUCAGAAAAUAUCAACUCAGUGAAUUAAUGAAUGGAUGGGUGAUGAAUGAAGAAAUAAAUGAAUAUGUUGAGAAGUCUUUGCCUGCUACUCAUGCUUCAAAAAUAUAAUUGUGUCUGUGUAAAAACAAGAGUUUACCCCGAUCCAGGCUUAUGGUACAUUCCCAUUCCAAGAGAAGCUGUAUCAUCAUCUGAGGAAAAGUAAGUUUUUUCCGGUAAUAUACUUUGUAUAUCAAGAUAUGUUAACAAGAAAGGAUCUUUCUCUAGCCUUGGCAUGUGAUUUUAUUAAGGCAGUAAUCUGUUUUAAUCAGUCAUUUCUUCAAGUAAUGAUUAAUUUUUAUAGAAGUCUACCUCUUGAGCAAUUGAGAAUCUUUCAAACAGUGUAAUCCUCAGCAAGGUCAAUGAGACUUUCACAUGGUCUUAUAUCAGAUUUUAUAAUAAAAUACUUGUGUAUAUUUAAGUAUAAACAGAACAAUACCGUUUAUGUCUACCAUAAAGUGAAAAAGGAAAGGUUAGGGCCUUUGCAGCUGACCUGGAGACCUGCGCUUUAUGGUCAGUCUGGUAAUUAUGAAGUAUUCCUUCAGUAAGUCUAAAAUGAGUAUUGAUUUCAACUUGCCACUUUUCUAUUUCUUCUGCAUCUGCAGCAGCAAUUUUGGAGAUAUUCUUUUCUCCAUGUCAUCAUAUCAUGGUUCACUUGGCCUACUUCUUCAUUUGCUAUUGAAAGACAGAAGUAUAGAUCUUUCAACAAAUCACUAGUAUUUUUUCUAAACGAUCAAUAGUUACUGACAGACUGUUUGCCUGGCUGAAAUUUUGACUUCGAGGAGGCUGUAGAAUAUCCUUUGGCCAGAAGUAAAAAUCUAAGCCCCUAAGGAGUAAAAUAUUGACCAUGUAUAAACAUGUGCUUUGUUUUCACUAAACAGGGAUUAAAAUAUGUUAAGUUUUACAUUAUUUGGUGAAGGCAUUAAAUAUCUACUUAUUUUAUUCUUUACGUUGAAGUAAAAUUUAAGAAGAAUGAUAUUACUGAAAAUAAACUUAAUCAUUAGAAGUUUGUGUUUUGUGCAUAAUACAAUAAAACAAAUAUCGUUUUACUAAAGUAGUUAUCUCAGUUCAGAAUGAAGUAAUUAUGAGCUGGUAAGAUGAUAAUUAAAUGAAUUUUUCAGUGUAGGAUUCUGUUCGUGUUUUUUGUUGUAAUUGUUCAAUAUAAAUGGAAAUAAAAUUUUCCCUGAAGAUACUAUUUUAAGAAGAAUAUAAAGUUCUCCUGCAAUAAUCACAUUCAUACUUAUGUAGACUGACAAAUAUCAGAUAUAUUUGAUCUGAACUUUGAAAUAUGGGUGAGUGUUAAAUACCAUUAAAGAGUAGCUAAGGACAAUUAUGGUCUGACAAAACUAAUGAUUCACAUUAAAAAAAAAUCUAAGUAAAACUUUGAAAUAAAUUUUCACUCUUUAAAUGUCCUCCAUUAAAUAAAAUAAGUCAGUUUCAAUCUUUUAAUUACAUUUUACUCUUUUAUUAUGUGAUAUAGAUAACAUGUAUAUGGUACAUUUAUUGAGUGGUUGAUUUUUAAAGGGCAAUGUUAAUGUCUUCUCUAAGUUUUGUGAAGCAGAGUGAUCCAAAAUAUAUUUUAAGGUUAGAGUUUCACUCACUUCACCAUCUUUUACAAUGAAUUCUAAUUAAUGACACUGCUGGAUGACACAUCUGUUUUGCUAAACAUAACAGAUAGCAAAAGGAAUUUUGGAAGUAGGUGAUGCAUGAUAUUAAAUAUAAAGAAGCAUUAUACAAGUUGAGAACUCUGCCCAGUGCACAUUUGUGUGUUUGAGUUAAAACUAAGCCUCUAUAUUAAAGGAAAACCUGAAGCUCAUGUUACAGAAUGAGCACAUAGAAAGUAGGAAGUUAUUAACAUGCAGCAUUAUUAAAAAUAUUUUAAAUACUUAUAAAUUAGAUUUAUUUUAAAGGUAUGUUUAGGAAAAAUAGGCAUUUUUAUUAGUUACUGAAAAGCAACUGAAAGGAAAUACUUAAAUGUUUAAGAAGGAAUAACCUGGUAUGAUAGUCUAAAUGCUAUAUUUUAAUAAAAGUAGUUUUAUAUUGUAUGAAGUUAUGUUUGUGAAUGCUUUAUAAAAUUUGUUUUAUAACAUGUUAUUAGUAUUUACAUUUUCUGAAGUUUACUUAAAAGUAUGAUAUUCCAACACAAAUUAAUCAUGUAACCAAAGUCUUAUUCUAUAUUUAAAUGAAAAGCUAUUACUAAUAAGGAUUUUAGCUCUACUACAUAAAUAGCCUUGGACUUAAUUACAAGUUAUAUUUGAAUGUAAAAAUGUAUGUUUUUUCUGAAAAUAAUGUAGAAGUUAUACCACAACCUCUUCUUAUUUUGCAUUUGAGGUUAAACAGAUAGAAUCGGAAAGAAAGCUGCCAUCACACAUGUUUUUUCCUUUGUUUGGAUGAGAAACAAAUUACUUUUACUUGCAUGAACUUACAGAGUGUUUAUUGAGCAUUUGCUCUGUGUACAAAUCAUUGACAAGUAGAGUGGGAGACAUCAAAGAAACCAAAACGUGGUUACUAUCUUUAAGCAACUCAACAUAUUAAUAGGCAAGAGUACACAAAUAACUCAGGAGCAAAGUAUUUUGAAGAGCUCAGAGAACAGUUCCAGUCUGAUGGAAAGUCAGAAAGAAAGAGGGCACAUUUGAUAUAAGUCAAUUUCAAGUAUUGGUGGGAUUUUAAAUACAUGAAUUGCAGUUAAGAAGACUCGUAGUUUACGAAGCUAAAAUUCUUUGCCAAUCUCCAUGUUUCAAGACCGAACCUUUUUUGCUGAAAGACUGAGAAAUUAUCAAGUUGUGAUUAAACAUGAUGAAAAUAUGCUGUCUGUGUUAAGGUUAGAUUUUACUUUUUAGGCUAUGAUAGUUUGAUCUGUAAAGUAGAAUACCAAUUAAACAUAUUAUAAUCUGAUAUUUCCAAACAACAAGGAUAUUUUUCAUGCUGUGACAAUCAUAAGAAAAUAAUAAAACAGGAAAGCAAAAUCUUUCAGCAGGUAGUUAUCAAAUCCAUCAGGUUAAAAGAAGCCAUUUCUUAAUCAGAGAUAGAAUGUAGGUAAUGGUUUGUGCUAAUUAUCAUAUGAAAAUCAAACAAGAGUUAAGCCACAGAAUUCAAAUUGAGUACCUGCAUUAUUGUUCUGAUUUUGUAUGAUUAUUGAGAGUACAUUGUCAGGGCAAUUAGAAAUUAUCAUUGUCACAACAUAUUUUGGCAUAAAAUGCAAGCAACAUUAUACUUUUUUCUGAAGCUAAUGGUUGCUUACAAUUAUUGCACUUCAUGAUUUUCUGCAGAGAGGAAUGAAGAGAGUAAGGCAGAGAGUGAGAGAGAGAGGGAGGAAAAGAUAACAGAGGAAGCAAGAAAGGAAAGAAGGAAGAAAAAAUAUCUAGACUGUUUUAACUCUCCAGGUUACUUGGCUAAUUUUAUGGUCCUCCCGCCUACUUUCACUUCUGUCAGUUCCACCUUAGCCCUGAGCUGUUCUUUCUCUUUAGUACUGGCAGUGGCAUAAGACCCUUGCAAACAUGGAAUCAAUUGGAAGAAAUUCUGAAUUUCAGCUGCCUCCAAUUAAAUCUCAUGGACUUUCUUUCCCUCCAAUCUGUAUAAUUGUUUGAUCUUGACCAAUCCCUUCUUUUAUAAUUUCCAAAGGUUUUUGUGUUGUGUUUUUGGUUUGUUUGUUGUUUUAAUGUUUGGGGUUAGUAUUGAUAUCAUUUUUCUUGAAGCUCUGUACUUCAUUCUCCCAGUUUUUAAGAAUUUUCUGUCAUUUCUUCUGGUCACCUGUGACACUGUACUUAUCUUGAAAGAUUAAGAAGACAGAUAUCAUUGUUUCUCAGUGUAGAAAUGGUGACCAAAGAAAACAGACUGUAUAAAUAGAAAUACCACUGAUUAUACAUUAUCCAGCCUUUUCUACUUUUUUUUUUUAACUUAAAAGGUACCUUAUUGUUUUAUUUUUCAGAAAGGAAAGAUAAAAAAAUAACUAUUUUACAAUUUGAUAUGAGUCAUGGUGCCAACAACUUUGCAAUUCAGUAAAACAAUUUGAGGUUAAAGUAAAAAGCAUGAUUACUAAAGAGCACCUUGAAUCUGUUGCUGAACACCCUCAUAUUGGUGACUAAGUUUCAUCUUUUCCCCGACCAUAAACAUGAAUUUAAUGAAUGAAACACAAUAGAAAAAUUAAAUAAAUUAUAGUUAUUAGCUAUUAUGAAAAAUGUAUUCCAAAUUGCAAGCUCAAAGCUGUGAUAUCACUUAACUCAAUUCAGCCUCAUCAUUUUAGCUCAUAGACAUUAAAAGAGUAAACAAAAGACUAGAUAAGCUCAUAGAUAUUGAAGACUAAAGACUUUAAUGAGCCAUUAAAAUGGUUGGAGCCAUUUUCUCAAAGCUUCUUGCCUUUCCAACUUCUUUCCCACUCUGAGAUAUGUACCAGAAGUUUUUCAUCUUUUUAGAGCAGGAAAAUAUUUCUGAAGAUCUUUGCUAUCCUAAGUAUUUACAAAUAUGGCCAGCGUUCUCAAUAAAACAGUAUUAAAUAGCCUAGUAUGUAUCUGAAAAUGAUAUUCCUUUUGCAAAUAUUUAACUGCUUAGUUUUUAUGUAGAGUUUGGCAAUCCAAGAAAGAAAAGUAGACCGAACUCCUCUAAUGGAUCAAGUAGAAGAGAGAUGCAAAAUUUUCUUUUCUAACAUCAGAACUUUAUUUAGAAAUGGAGAACAGUCUAACGUAAUUGUAGUUGGUCAAAUCCAUUUUGGAUACUGAAAACAUAAAGUGAAUAAAAUAAAGCUAUUAACAUUCAUUAUUAGAUAAUUUUAUUGCUUUUUCAAGAAAAAUAUAUUCUUAAAAGUGAUGAAUAACACUAACAACUAUACAUUAAAUACCCCUAUUUUCUAUUGUAGUUCUCAUCCAAAUUUAAUAUAUUCUAAAAAUUUUUUGAAAUUUAACUGCCUAGUUCUUUUUCUUAAAGAACAAUAAGGCCAGUGAUGUGCUUAUAAGAGAAACACGUUUAUGAAUUAAUGAUUGAGAUAAUAACCCUAAUUUAUUUCUUUGAAUAUUCUAGACUUAAGGCUCUCCAAAGUAUAAUAUAGCUAUUAUUAGACACAAAAAGAACAAAAUUAAAAACUGUAUCCUUAAAGGACAGUUAAAAUUUGCCAGGCAGUAUAUGAGCAAAUUAUCUUAUGACUGUUCAGUCAGCUUACUGUUUCUCAGAUGGACAUAUUGUCUGUUUCAUACAAGCACUCCCACCCAGCCACACAAAUGACUAUUGAUAGAAUACAGACUUUAAUAAUAGUAUUUGUUUCUAAGCAGCAAAUAACUUCCCUUUGGCCUUCAAAGUCAUUCUUACAAUUAUUUUUUGCUUGUAAUCUUCUACAUCUCAAAUCUUAUGAGAUUGUCUAAUUUAUUCCUUGCAUAGUAAUUUUGUGUGUCCUAAUGCAAAUUUCCUUUUUUAACAUUGGAAAUAUUUAUUUGAAUAGAAACUACAGUAUUAUAUAAAACAAACAAACAAGCCAAAAUUGGGAUCACGUAUUUUUCCACUGCUUUGUUCAAACCAUCAUUUUAUUGCAUUCCAGAAAGAACAAUCUAGAUACAAAUUUGACAAUAUAUGUUGAAAAAUAUUAAGUAAAUUUCUAUCUUUAUUUUUCUACCAUCUCUUUUCCUUUCAUUCUCCUCAUUUCUAUGGGCCUUCAUUGUUAUUUGUAGUACAUGUUAUCUAGCCGGUUGUAAAAGUGUUUGGGUAAACACCUUUGUGUUUGGUUUCACAUUAAUUAAGUCAGCAGUGUACAUUUGUUGUACUCCCCAGUAGACUACUUAAAAAGAAGCACAAAAAUGGAUUCACUAGUCUAUACAAUGAUCAGAUAAAAAUCUCUGUAUUAGUCAAGCCAAAAAACCAAAAGCUCAUUCAAACCAAAUUACAGAGUUCUUUAUACUUAGUCUGUGGGGUGAAUUCCCUUAGAUAUUUUAUUUUGUGUUUCAUUCUCCCCCACAGAGAGUUAUUUGAGGAGAGACAAUUACCUAAAAUGUACUUCUAACUCAAAUCUCUUUGGACUAAACUAAAUGGUAUAGAUGUGUGUGUGUACGUGUGUGUGUGUUUAUAGAAAUAUUUACAAUUUAGACAUUCUGAGCAAAAAGACACCUAUCAACUUAUCCAAGAGUUCUUAAUGUAGAUUAUUUUCUAAUAUCAUCAUCAGGCAUAUUUAAAUGGAAUAAAUUAUCUUUCACAUUGUGUCUACCGUGGGAAUUUUUAAUGAUGCUCUCUGCUGGCUUCGGUAGAUGUAUGACUUCAUAUCUCCUGGGGCAACUUCAUUUUUACAUUUUCAUUCAGUUGUAUCAGAGUUUUGUGUGCUGUGAGACCAAGAAAAUUUCAUUUUGGAAGUUGUCAUUAUGGGGAUAUCACAGCACUUUGAUGAGAUUUUCUUAUUCAGGUAUAAAAUAGUUGCAAAUAAACAUACAAAUAAGUAUGAUAUUUUUAUUUAUGUUUAAAACAGCAACAUUGGUAUCACUUGUGGGUUUUUUUCUGGUAGUUUAUGGUUAGCAAGUUUAACUGUUUAAACGUGUUUUAUUUUAAAUUUAAACGUAUUUCAUUUUAAUUUUAAACAUGUUUCUAAGAUACAACUUUCUCGACUAAUAAUGAACCAUUGGAUAUAGUUCAUAAUAUCUAUGUAUUAGGAUGUCACAGCAGAUCAGAUAAGAUAGUACAUACUGUCACAUUCAGCAUCAUAGAUAUUCUAAAACCGUUGCAUAAAGAUGAGCCCUUUUGUGUUACCUUGCAAGGUUGCUAUAGUUACAGAAUGUGGCUUUAUGGGAAUUUCACUUUUCUUAGUAAUAUUAGAUACUGAACCAAAAGUCUCAUUUUAUAUGAUUCUUAAGUCUCUUCUUUGAAAAUAACUUCAUUUGUAAGAUAUUCUGUAUUUUCACAAUCUUUCUUUUUAUUCCACAAAUAAGUUAUUUGCAAAGAACAAAAAUUUGAGCAUAUGUUUUGCUUCCAGACACUGAACAUAGGACAGAAUUUUCACUCCCUCCUUCGAUUGCUAUUUUUGCGUUUACAGAAAAAGAAGUUUGUAUUAUAUAUAUUUUUUAAAAAGCAGUAUGUUGUCAGCUGGUAAACUCCAUUAAACAAUAUUAUUAAAACCCAUGUGUUUCUAUGUUACUGCACCUUAGUUUAAAGCAGAGUUGUAUGUACCUGUGAGCAGUGAGUUUCAAACUAUCAUAGAGUUUCAAGUUUUCCAUAGAGUUUCAAGUGUAGAUAUUACUACACUUUAAUGGAAAGAUAAUGUGCUCUCGGAAAACAUGGUUCAUAUUUACCUCCUACAAAGCUACAGUACUGGAUACUGGGGCCGUAAAACAUGAAUACAUGAUCUCUAGUAAGAUAUUUAGUCUAAUUUCCACUCUUUUUUUUUUUUUUUUUUUGAGACGGAGUCUCGCUCUGUCGCCCAGGCUAGAGUGCAGUGGCGCAAUCUCGGCUCACUGCAAGCUCCGCCUCCCGGGUUCACGCCAUUCUCCUGCCUCAGCCUCUCCGAGUAGCUGGGACUACAGGCGCCCGCCACCGCGCCCGGCUAAUUUUUUGU